RNAcentral lists this long non-coding RNA (1162 nucleotides) under Homo sapiens (human). RNAcentral describes it as "HSALNT0001619". The record is from RNAcentral. Lineage: Eukaryota; Metazoa; Chordata; Mammalia; Primates; Hominidae.
CAGGCAGCUUGCACAGGGAGGGGACCAGGCAGGGGUCCCUGAGGGGGCCCACAGGCCUGCAUGGCCGAGCCCAGGGCCCAGAGAAGGUGGCUUGGGGGCCGAGCCCACAGAGGCAGCCAAGGCUCCGCUGUCUGUGUCCUCCAGCGCUCAGCGCUGAGUAGGCAGUCCCAGUGUCGGGCUGAGGGGGCGAGGCCUGGAUCCCUGAGGCCAUUGGCAGUUCCAGGCCCGCCUCUGCCAGCCCCGCUCUCCACUCCUCUGGGGGAAGGAGGCAGGGGCUGAGGCCCACUCCGCUCCCCGUCAGCUGCGGGCAGAGCUGGCCUGGGUGGGGGUGUGGAGGGGACGGUGGCCCUUGUCGCGUUCCUCUCCUCUCCUCUCCUCAGGCCCAGCACAAUCACCUUGUGUCUGGCAACGGCAAGGGCUUUUCCUAUCAGAGGAAACUGAAGGUCACACUUUUCCUCAUUGAUCUCGCAAUGUUUGUUAAUUACUCUGUCACUGAUGUGGCGAAGGAUAAUUAAACAGCUCUGUUUAUAUCUUACAUGCAUAAUUAUGUGGCUGCGCAGGGCUCCCCGCACGGGGAGGAGAUGCACCCCUUGCUGCAGGGGAAGGGCUAGGGGAGCGGGCAGGGGAGGCGCAGGGCACCGGGCACAAGGCUGGGAAGGAGGCCGGGGGCAGAGAGAAGGCCCAGACCUGGGGGCUGUGGUCCUGGCGACCCCCUUGCCUGCUGGAACCCCCGGCCCACCCUCCCCUGAGCAGAAGGCGCGCAGGGCUGCUCUCGAUCCCCAGGACAUGGACAUGGAGACACCAGCAGAGCAGGGCCUCAGUGCCUCGUGGGAGAGAGGUCAGCCAGGGGACCGUGGCCGGGGCAGCUGGCUGUAAGAGGAUACGCUGGCCGGGCUGGCAAUCCAUGUGGCCCUGAGACGUCCUGCUGGGAGGGCCAGGGACAGCGGUGUAGGGAAGGAAGAGGAGGCCAAGGGGAGUGGCAGGAGAACAAAGCUUGUCCUGGGCUCCUCCGAGAAAGCUCCGUAAGUAGCAGAAUGUGCAGACAGCAGGCUCACAGGCUCAUGCCGUUGACCGCUGCGCCCCUCUUGUGCCAGGUACUGUGCCCGGUAAGCUCAGGCCUCACAGGUGUGUGUAAAGAGUCACCUGCCCACCAUCUGUCCAG